Podarcis raffonei (Aeolian wall lizard) is the source of this 527-nucleotide long non-coding RNA. RefSeq lists it as uncharacterized. The record is from RefSeq and is a predicted model, not a curated record. NCBI's taxonomy places the organism in Eukaryota, Metazoa, Chordata, Lepidosauria, Squamata, Lacertidae. The transcript is spliced from 2 exons.
AAUUUGUUUAUUUAAGGAUCUAUUUUGUGCAAGGUCUUCUGACUCAUGCUUACUCAGUGACAAAAGGACCAAUUUACCCUCAAGUGCUUGUCCCUCAUUCGGCAUACAAGGCUAGUAAAAGAUGUUUGCAUGUGCAGACCCUGCAGUAAAAACUCAAGACGGCAUCAUUAUCUAAACCUUUCAUUUUGUUGUCUAUGAAAUGAAACUGUGGAACUUCAGGAACCUGCCUCAGCUCCAAGCUAGAGACAAAGACAAGGCUUCUGGUAUGAUCCAGUGGGUGGCCAAACACUCAACAUCACAAGUAGAAAUGUGAACACAAGGAAAGAAACAAAAAGGCUAAAUGACGAGGAAAGAAUUAUAGGAGAGAAGAAAUAGAUGUUGGAAGAAGAGAAAAGUAGAAGGUUCAGAAAUGUAACAGCAAAACUCUUAAUGUGGCUUGAUUUGUAUUUCCUAGACAAAAACACCCAGCGUGUCUUUUUAUGCAAACCUGGCUAUGUUUAAAAUAUGUCUCAGGAGUACAAGCAAGA